GCGGGCGUAGUUCAGUGGUAGAACACCAGCUUCCCAAGCUGGAUACGCCAGUUCGAUUCUGGUCGCCCGCA
This 71-nucleotide transfer RNA is filed under the name Planctomycetota bacterium. Its description in RNAcentral is "Planctomycetes bacterium (anaerobic digester metagenome) tRNA-Gly". It matches the Rfam family "tRNA". Rfam says of the family: Transfer RNA (tRNA) molecules are approximately 80 nucleotides in length. Their secondary structure includes four short double-helical elements and three loops (D, anti-codon, and T loops). Lineage: Bacteria; Pseudomonadati; Planctomycetota. RNAcentral also lists the same sequence under 4 other names. The record is from RNAcentral.